CCUGCGAAAGCCUGGGAGGACGUUUGCUAGAACUUAAAAACCGCCAGGGAGCUGGCGGGGAGGGGAACAUUCCUAGAGAGAGUUUUAAAUUGGGGGUUUUCAGGCUAAUACCAGUACCGCCCUGUCUUACUCGCUCACGUCCCAAUGAAGUUUUAGGCUGGGUUUGGGCAGUAAUGACAAGUAGACAUCUCCCCGGCCAAAUUCAUAUUAUUUGGGGCCUUACGCUUCCUUCGCCCCGAACACAAACGUGGAGUUCUCUGCUUGGAGCACCUGUGCUGUCACUCACAGAAUAACUCAGGGCAUGCAAAGUUCUGAAGACUGGAAAUCCAAGAUCAAGAGCCAGCAGAUUUGGUGUUUGAGUCAAAGCCAAGAAGUCAAGAAAGGUGGCCAUCUCACGGAGAUUGUCUUAGAGGGCCAGCAGCCUUCACAGCACCAACUCCACGCCUCAGUACUGGUCAACAUUAAUGAGUGAUGCUCUUUCCAGGCACUGCUCCAACCGCGUACGUAAUCCUCACAGCAUCCCGUUGAGACAGGUACCAUUGUUGAUCCCAUGUCACAGAUGGACAAACUGAGGUCCAAGGUGGUUAAAUACUUGACCCAGGAUCACCCAGCUAGGAAAUGACAGUCUUGAUUUAAACACAAACAGUUCUAUGCUCUUAUCCAUCAGUCUAUAUGGCAUCUCAAUUGUUUUCAACUUUAUUGUAAAUAAAAUUUACCUUGAAGCACUGGGUUCUUCUGACAUAGUUGCUUUGAAGUUGGUCUUCAGAUCUUGUAUUUUUAAUUUAAUUUUAUUUUUUUGGAAAGAGAGAGAGAAAGAGAGAGGGAGAGAGAGAGAGAGAGAGAGAGACAGAGUGGAGGGGGAAGGAGAGAGAAAGAAUCUUAAGCAGGCUCCACCCCCAGCUCUGAUCCCACCAUUCUGGGGUCAUGAUCUGAGCUGAAAUCAAGAGUUGGACGCUUGCUCAACCAACUGAGCCACCCAGGCUCCCCUGAAGUUGGUCUUCAAAUGAGCCCUGGAAUUCACAUUGUCAGCUGGUAGCUUAAGCAUUUGCCACUAGUUUGACUUCUUUCCAAUUUACCCCUCCCGCGAAUCUGAUCAUACCUCUCCCCUGCUUGAAUUUUUUCCAUGUCUCUCCUCAGCAUUAACACUCAAGUUCAACCCUUUUAGUUUAGCAUACAAGGCUCUUCAGACUCUGGCCCCAGCCUUGCCCUUUUUGUGUCACAGCCAUCCAUUCUCCUCAACCCUUUCUUUACUUCCAUGGUAUGGGCCUUCUUCCAAAACCAUGUACAAUGGCCUUCCACACCUCCAUGCCUUAAUACUUGCUGCUUUCUCUGCCCAGAAAUGAUCAGCCUGUCUUCUUCAUCUAGGUAACUCCUACCCAUUUUUCAAAAUUCUGAAAGUUCACUUUACACCUUCACUCAGUAUUGAUUUAGAAGCCUCUCCUCUGCUCUUCUGUAACAGCCCAUGCUUUCUUGUGUCUCGGAGCUAACGGCACUACCGUGUAACCUUCAGUGUAUUCAGAUAUCCCCUCCAUUAACAGUCUCAAUAAUAAUAAUAACGGUCACUUAAGGAGCAUUCUAAGCGAUGGCAUCCCUUAGGUCCUAUUGCCAAUCCAACUCCAAAAGGCACCUAUCGUCAGCUGCAUUUUAAGGUUGAAGAGAGUGAAGUUUAGAGAGUGAGGUAGUAAGUCUGUGGUCCUACCAUUUUAAUGGUGGCAUCACACUCACAUCUGGCUCCGUUAAUGUCUUGUUUGAGUCCAUCUCUCCCGCACCUGUCAUUAGUAGUGACAUUUUCCUGGUUAGAUGGAUGUGGAUAGAUGGAUGGCCUGGGAUGCCAUAAAUCCAGGUUUCGAAAGAAAGAAAAAGAAAGCCAAAUUUGAAGUCAGGAUGAACACUCACGCUUGGGUUCUGCCUCUGCCUCUACCUAGCUGCUAAAAUAGGACAGCUCUCGAAUGAUAAGUAUGUCUAGAGGUGAUUAGUAUGGCAAGUGGACUUCUGGGUAGAGAAAGAACUUGGAACUACAGGCUGCAGAUCAGCGGGGAGGCCAGAAAGAAACUUAACUCACAGGCGGCGUGAACGCUGGUGCAAAUUUUCUUUGCGGCAGAACUAUGUUGUCAUGCAAUCUUUAUCUUAGUUCCCCAGAUGGGGAGAUAGCGCUUUGCUAUCUCUGUGUGCAGCUGUGACCGGGGUUUGUUUGGUCUUAGUGCAAGGGCUUACACAGCACCUACCUUUUUGGUUUGUGUCCAGGGUGGCUGUUUUCUGAAAAUAGAAGGUGAUACUGCCUCUGACUCAGUCCCUUUCACCUCAUGUUCUUUCUGGUACACUCGUCCUAGAGUAUCAACCCAUCUCAGAUUCCUUGCUACAUGACAGAUUUGCAACAUUUGUGGUUAUGUGUGAGUUGUUACUGAGAGAUUUAAACUUUCUUUUAUUAAUCCCUAGAAGCUGAUGUACUGUGAAUCAGAGGAAAUAUAUAUAUUUAUGUUGCUUCCCUAAUGAUAUACGAAGCCAUGGGAUCUCCUUUACUCUGAGUCUUUUGAGUGAGUUAACAGAGUUCAUUAAAGCCACUCCCUUGGGGUCCAUACCAUCUCAGUUGGCAGGGAGAACUUCUGCUUCUGGAUUAACCUUUGUAACUCCCCAUGACUUGCUGACUCCUCUUAAUUCUUCUGCAAGAGCUCUCUCCACCCCCUCUCUUGUAAUAUCAUCGUCCUUUUAAAGUGACUGUUUCAUGAGGGCUUCUGGGCACCCCAUGUAACUGGAAAUGGUCAUGCUGCAAGUUCAGAGCACCUACAGAGACUCCCUCUGUGUUCUGGUCCGUGGGUCCCAGUCUCUAAUUGGCACCUCUGGAGAGAAGCCCCGAGUAGGAUACUGCUUCCCCCUCCCUUCCCUCCCCCCCCAACCCACCUUUCCUAUCCCUAAACCGAGAGAUUUAAAUGGUAAUGGUCACUUUUUAUCUCUUUUUGUAUUUUCAUUGACUGGCUAGGCUCUGAGCAUUUAAUUUCCUAUGACGCAAGCUCUCUUAGUUAUAUGUAACUAAAUCUGUCUAUUUCUCCCUGACUUACUAUCUCAAUCAAUAUAGUAUUGAUUGGAUAACAGCAAAAAAUAUUCUAUUUUAUGCCUCUAAUUCUCUUUCCUCUCUGCCAAGAAAAUCAGGGAUUUGGGGGCAGGUGAGUAUCUCGUCCAUUCAGUGACUUUCUUCCCUUUCCUUUUUUCA
Long non-coding RNA from Acinonyx jubatus (cheetah), 3208 nucleotides. RefSeq lists it as uncharacterized. The record is from RefSeq and is a predicted model, not a curated record. The transcript has 3 exons. Lineage: Eukaryota; Metazoa; Chordata; Mammalia; Carnivora; Felidae.